GAUGAACGCUGGCGGCGUGCCUAAUACAUGCAAGUCGAGCGAACAGACGAGGAGCUGGCUCCUCUGACGUUAGCGGCGGACGGGUGAGUAACACGUGGAUAACCUACCUAUAAGACUGGGAUAACUUCGGGAAACCGGAGCUAAUACCGGAUAAUAUAUUGAACCGCAUGGUUCAAUAGUGAAAGACGGUUUUGCUGUCACUUAUAGAUGGAUCCGCGUCGCAUUAGAUAGUUGGUAAGGUAACGGCUUACCAAGGCAACGAUGCGUAGCCGACCUGAGAGGGUGAUCAGCCACACUGGAACUGAGACACGGCCCAGACUCCUACGGGAGGCAGCAGUAGGGAAUCUUCCGCAAUGGGCGAAAGCCUGACGGAGCAACGCCGCGUGAGUGAUGAAGGUCUUCGGAUCGUAAACCUCUGUUAUUAGGGAAGAACAAAUGUGUAAGUAACUAUGCACGUCUUGACGGUACCUAAUCAGAAAGCCACGGCUAACUACGUG
This 497-nucleotide ribosomal RNA is filed under the name uncultured bacterium. RNAcentral describes it as "partial 16S ribosomal RNA". It matches the Rfam family "Bacterial small subunit ribosomal RNA", at positions 28 to 507 of the family's 1533-position model. The record is from RNAcentral.